GUGGGGAAUAUUCCGCAAUGGACGAAAGUCUGACGGAGCAACGCCGCGUGAGUGAUGAAGGUUUUCGGACUGUAAAGCUCUGUUGUUUGGGACGAAAGUGCCUGUUGCGAACAGUUACGGGUAUUGACGGUACUAAACGAGGAAGCCACGGCUAACUACGUGCCAGCAGCCGCGGUAAUACGUAGGUGGCAAGCGUUGUCCGGAAUUAUUGGGCGUAAAGAGCAUGUAGGCGGGAAUCUAAGUCUGUUGUUAAAAUGCGGGGCUCAACCCCGUAUUGCGAUGGAAACUGGGUUUCUUGAGUGCAGGAGAGGAAAGGGGAAUUCCCAGUGUAGCGGUGAAAUGCGUAGAUAUCAAGAGGAACACCAGUGGCGAAGGCGAGUCUCUGGACAAGACCUGACGCUGAGGCACGAAGGCCAGGGGAUCAAACGGGAUUAGAAACCCGAGUAGUCC
This 450-nucleotide ribosomal RNA is filed under the name uncultured bacterium. RNAcentral's name for it is "partial 16S ribosomal RNA". It matches the Rfam family "Bacterial small subunit ribosomal RNA", at positions 354 to 796 of the family's 1533-position model. The record is from RNAcentral.